RNAcentral lists this ribosomal RNA (1120 nucleotides) under Acinetobacter sp. Its description in RNAcentral is "bacterial SSU rRNA". It matches the Rfam family "Bacterial small subunit ribosomal RNA", at positions 157 to 1271 of the family's 1533-position model. The record is from RNAcentral. Lineage: Bacteria; Pseudomonadati; Pseudomonadota; Gammaproteobacteria; Moraxellales; Moraxellaceae.
GGAAUGCUAAUACCGCAUACGUCCUACGGGAGAAAGCAGGCGAUCUUCGGACCUUGCGCUAAUAGAUGAGCCUAAGUCGGAUUAGCUAGUUGGUGGGGUAAAGGCCUACCAAGGCGACGAUCUGUAGCGGGUCUGAGAGGAUGAUCCGCCACACUGGGACUGAGACACGGCCCAGACUCCUACGGGAGGCAGCAGUGGGGAAUAUUGGACAAUGGGCGGAAGCCUGAUCCAGCCAUGCCGCGUGUGUGAAGAAGGCCUUAUGGUUGUAAAGCACUUUAAGCGAGGAGGAGGCUACUUUAAUUAAUACCUAGGGAUAGUGGACGUUACUCGCGGAAUAAGCACCGGCUAACUCUGUGCCAGCAGCCGCGGUUAUACAGAGGGUGCAAGCGUUAAUCGGAUUUACUGGGCGUAAAGCGCGCGUAGGCGGCUAAUUAAGUCAAAUGUGAAAUCCCCGAGCUUAACUUGGGAAUUGCAUUCGAUACUGGUUAGCUAGAGUGUGGGAGAGGAUGGUAGAAUUCCAGGUGUAGCGGUGAAAUGCGUAGAGAUCUGGAGGAAUACCGAUGGCGAAGGCAGCCAUCUGGCCUAACACUGACGCUGAGGUGCGAAAGCAUGGGGAGCAAACAGGAUUAGAUACCCUGGUAGUCCAUGCCGUAAACGAUGUCUACUAGCCGUUGGGGCCUUUGAGGCUUUAGUGGCGCAGCUAACGCGAUAAGUAGACCGCCUGGGGAGUACGGUCGCAAGACUAAAACUCAAAUGAAUUGACGGGGGCCCGCACAAGCGGUGGAGCAUGUGGUUUAAUUCGAUGCAACGCGAAGAACCUUACCUGGCCUUGACAUAGUAAGAACUUUCCAGAGAUGGAUUGGUGCCUUCGGGAACUUACAUACAGGUGCUGCAUGGCUGUCGUCAGCUCGUGUCGUGAGAUGUUGGGUUAAGUCCCGCAACGAGCGCAACCCUUUUCCUUAUUUGCCAGCGAGUAAUGUCGGGAACUUUAAGGAUACUGCCAGUGACAAACUGGAGGAAGGCGGGGACGACGUCAAGUCAUCAUGGCCCUUACGGCCAGGGCUACACACGUGCUACAAUGGUCGGUACAAAGGGUUGCUACCUAGCGAUAGGAUGCUAU